Molecule: ribosomal RNA, 499 nt
Filed under: uncultured bacterium
Lineage: Bacteria
Description: partial 16S ribosomal RNA
Rfam family: Bacterial small subunit ribosomal RNA
Source: RNAcentral
GAUGAACGCUGGCGGCGUGCCUAAUACAUGCAAGUCGAGCGAACAGACGAGAGUGCUUGCACUCUCUGACGUUAGCGGCGGACGGGUGAGUAACACGUGGGUAACCUACCUAUAAGACUGGGAUAACUUCGGGAAACCGGAGCUAAUACCGGACAAUAUUUAGCUUCGCAUGAAGCAAUAGUGAAAGACGGUUCUGCUGUCACUUAUAGAUGGACCCGCGGUGUAUUAGCUAGUUGGUGAGGUAACGGCUCACCAAGGCAACGAUACAUAGCCGACCUGAGAGGGUGAUCGGCCACACUGGGACUGAGACACGGCCCAGACUCCUACGGGAGGCAGCAGUAGGGAAUCUUCCGCAAUGGACGAAAGUCUGACGGAGCAAUGCCGCGUGAGUGAAGAAGGUUUUCGGAUCGUAAAACUCUGUUGUAAGGGAAGAACAAGUACGUUAGUAACUGAACGUACCUUGACGGUACCUUACCAGAAAGCCACGGCUAACUACGUG